Molecule: unclassified non-coding RNA, 480 nt
Filed under: Hevea brasiliensis (rubber tree)
Lineage: Eukaryota; Viridiplantae; Streptophyta; Magnoliopsida; Malpighiales; Euphorbiaceae
Source: RNAcentral
GUAGUUCUUUGAUGAAACAGGUAGGAAUCGUUUCCUGUAAGUACCAUCAGAAUUGAAACUUUGAAUCCGUAUAACUUCUUGGAAUACAUUAAAUAUUUGUAAUUGAUUUUAUGUUUUUGUUAUAUCUGGAUGCAUGAAAUAAUUUUUGAAGGAAGUCAUAUGCCUUCCCUUUGCACAUUAUGAUUGAAAAGGUUGGCAAUGAACUCAACUAAACUAAGUUUUAAUCCUAAACUAGUUGGGGUUAACCAUAUGAACCCUUUUCCUCCAUUCCUCCGGUUUUAGGGCUACAUCUUUAAAAUAAAAUAAAGUAUUUAUGUAACAUACUCUUCCUUAGUUUUUGUUUUAUAUAAUUCUAAUUUUUAGACUUCAGAAAAAAAAAAUGUUGAUGAGUUCAGGUAUCAUCUCCGUACCUUGAGAUUGUUUACCCGGAGAUUGUUUUCCCAUCUUAACACAUAUAGGUAAUGUUUGGUAUAAAUGAAU